UACGGGGGGGGCAAGCGUUGUUCGGAAUUACUGGGCGUAAAGGGCUCGUAGGUGGCCAACUAAGUCAGACGUGAAAUCCCCAGGCUCAACUUGGGAACUGCGUCUGAUACUGGAUGGCUUGAAUUCGGGAGAGGGAUGCAGAAUUCCAGGUGUAGCGGUGAAAUGCGUAGAGAUCCGGAGGAACACCAGAGGCGAAGGCGGCCUACUGGGCUGCACCUGACGCUGAGCCGCGAAAGCCAGGGGAGCGAACGGG
Molecule: ribosomal RNA, 253 nt
Filed under: uncultured bacterium
Lineage: Bacteria
Description: partial 16S ribosomal RNA
Rfam family: Bacterial small subunit ribosomal RNA
Source: RNAcentral